GUCUAUGGACAUAUUAUCCUGAACAAGCCCCAUAUUGUCUGAUUUGGGAAACUAAUCAAAGUUGGGCCUGCUUAGUACUUGAAUAGGAGGCUGCCUGGGAAAACCAGGUGCUAUAGGCU
Molecule: ribosomal RNA, 119 nt
Filed under: Monodelphis domestica (gray short-tailed opossum)
Lineage: Eukaryota; Metazoa; Chordata; Mammalia; Didelphimorphia; Didelphidae
Source: RNAcentral